This 253-nucleotide ribosomal RNA is filed under the name uncultured bacterium. Its description in RNAcentral is "partial 16S ribosomal RNA". It matches the Rfam family "Bacterial small subunit ribosomal RNA", at positions 524 to 776 of the family's 1533-position model. The record is from RNAcentral.
UACGUAGGGGGCGAGCGUUGUCCGGAUUUACUGGGCGUAAAGCGCGUGUAGGCGGGCGAUUAAGUCGGGUGUGAAAGCCCGGGGCUCAACCCCGGGAUGCCGCCCGAGACUGGUCUCCUUGAGGACGGAAGAGGGGAGUGGAAUUCCUGGUGUAGCGGUGAAAUGCGCAGAUAUCUGGAGGAACACCGGUGGCGAAGGCGGCAUCCUGGACCAAUAUUGACGCUGAGGAGCGAAAGCCAGGGGAGCAAACGGG